AGUUGAAGCAGGCACGUUCGAAAUGCGGUGUUAGAGUUACGACCCGUGUUGACAGCGCGAUCAUCCCUGUGUCAGAUUCUGACAGCUUGGACGUUUUAGAUGCAUCGGAAUCAUCCGGGGACCACGCCGUUGGGGAAAACAUCCCCGUUGGAGACAAUGAAGGCUUGCGGCGGCCAUCUUGGAUGUUUCCAUGGCAACCGGUGGCAACAUCACCUGGAAAAGACUCCAUUUCAAUUGUUAAUAUGUAUACCUCAAAGUUGUAACCAAUUAAAACUAACAAAUACUU
This is a long non-coding RNA of Haliotis rufescens (red abalone), 286 nucleotides long. RefSeq lists it as uncharacterized. Lineage: Eukaryota; Metazoa; Mollusca; Gastropoda; Lepetellida; Haliotidae. The record is from RefSeq and is a predicted model, not a curated record. The transcript has 2 exons.